GCGCCCAUAGCUCAGAUGGACAGAGCAACGGCCUUCUAAGCCGUGGGUCGGGGGUUCGAAUCCCUCUGGGCGCG
This 74-nucleotide transfer RNA is filed under the name Candidatus Dadabacteria bacterium. RNAcentral's name for it is "tRNA-Arg". It matches the Rfam family "tRNA". Rfam says of the family: Transfer RNA (tRNA) molecules are approximately 80 nucleotides in length. Their secondary structure includes four short double-helical elements and three loops (D, anti-codon, and T loops). Further hydrogen bonds mediate the characteristic L-shaped molecular structure. tRNAs have two regions of fundamental functional importance: the anti-codon, which is responsible for specific mRNA codon recognition, and the 3' end, to which the tRNAs corresponding amino acid is attached (by aminoacyl-tRNA synthetases). tRNAs cope with the degeneracy of the genetic code in two manners: having more than one tRNA (with a specific anti-codon) for a particular amino acid; and 'wobble' base-pairing, i.e. permitting non-standard base-pairing at the 3rd anti-codon position. The record is from RNAcentral. Lineage: Bacteria; Pseudomonadati; Thermodesulfobacteriota; Candidatus Dadabacteria.